This is a non-coding RNA of Caenorhabditis elegans, 194 nucleotides long. Lineage: Eukaryota; Metazoa; Nematoda; Chromadorea; Rhabditida; Rhabditidae. The record is from Ensembl.
AUGAGAAAAUGUUGUGAAAAAGUGUAAAGCGCAUUUUUUCGCAAUGUUUUUCGCGUUCCUCAUAUCACUUUUCCAAUAUUUGGUGGUUGUAGUGGUAUGGAAACUAUAUGUUUGAGAGCGUUAAUUAUGAGAAUAAAAUGUGACAAAAAAAAAUCACAGUAUUUAUCUAUCACUAGUCACUGGUCAAAAAAACC